UAAUCCUAUCAAUACAUGUAAAUAAUUAUUGUAAAAUCCAGUUUUUCAUCUUCUCGUGGUCAUCAGAUGUGACCCAUUUGGACGUUGAAAGGCUCUGUGGUUACCAUGGAAACACCGUCAUCUUCUCCAACAUUGAUUCACCAGUAAAACCCAUGGAGUUGGAUCAAUGAUAGUGGAUGGACACACUUGUUUUGUAGUCAGUUAAUGGUAUAUUUUACUGAAAAAGUCACUUUUUCUUCAGUUUCCUCUGUUUUUGAUCUAAUGACCCUCAACGUUAAUUUCAGCUUUUACGAG
This is a long non-coding RNA of Sphaeramia orbicularis (orbiculate cardinalfish), 294 nucleotides long. RefSeq lists it as uncharacterized. Lineage: Eukaryota; Metazoa; Chordata; Actinopteri; Kurtiformes; Apogonidae. The record is from RefSeq and is a predicted model, not a curated record. The transcript is spliced from 3 exons.